This 662-nucleotide ribosomal RNA is filed under the name Setophoma terrestris. RNAcentral's name for it is "SSU rRNA". It matches the Rfam family "Eukaryotic small subunit ribosomal RNA", at positions 85 to 756 of the family's 1831-position model. Lineage: Eukaryota; Fungi; Ascomycota; Dothideomycetes; Pleosporales; Phaeosphaeriaceae. The record is from RNAcentral.
AACUGCGAAUGGCUCAUUAAAUCAGUUAUCGUUUAUUUGAUAGUACCUUACUACUUGGAUAACCGUGGUAAUUCUAGAGCUAAUACAUGCUGAAAACCCCGACUUACGAAGGGGUGUAUUUAUUAGAUAAAAAACCAACGCCCUUCGGGGCUUCUUGGUGAUUCAUGAUAACUUUACGGAUCGCAUGGCCUUGCGCCGGCGACGGUUCAUUCAAAUUUCUGCCCUAUCAACUUUCGAUGGUAAGGUAUUGGCUUACCAUGGUUUCAACGGGUAACGGGGAAUUAGGGUUCGAUUCCGGAGAGGGAGCCUGAGAAACGGCUACCACAUCCAAGGAAGGCAGCAGGCGCGCAAAUUACCCAAUCCCGACACGGGGAGGUAGUGACAAUAAAUACUGAUACAGGGCUCUUUUGGGUCUUGUAAUUGGAAUGAGUACAAUUUAAACCUCUUAACGAGGAACAAUUGGAGGGCAAGUCUGGUGCCAGCAGCCGCGGUAAUUCCAGCUCCAAUAGCGUAUAUUAAAGUUGUUGCAGUUAAAAAGCUCGUAGUUGAAACUUGGGCCUGGCUGGCAGGUCCGCCUCACCGCGUGUACUUGUCCGGCCGGGUCUUCCUUCUGGAGAACCUCAUGCCCUUCACUGGGCGUGUUGGGGACCAGGACUUUUACU